Molecule: long non-coding RNA, 1946 nt
Organism: Eubalaena glacialis (North Atlantic right whale)
Lineage: Eukaryota; Metazoa; Chordata; Mammalia; Artiodactyla; Balaenidae
Exons: 2
Source: RefSeq, a predicted model, not a curated record
AUGCGGCUACCGCCCCCGGACCCCUUGUCCUCCCAGGUCUCAAAUGGGGAAAUUGAGGCACAGAGCGGCGGCGCGGUCUGUCCCGCGCGUGGCUGGCCCCCGACCCUGAGUCGCUCUGCCUGGGGGCCGCGAUGGUGCCCACCCAGUCCGCGCCCAGCACCUCCGGCUCAGCUCCUGGGGCCUGGAAACUGACCCUGUGCGCUCCUGGCUUUGCUUUUGUUUGACGUUGUUGUGAAGCCGACGGCUGCGCCUGUCCUUGACUGACCCCCGUGGGAGGCGGGUGGGAUGGGGGUGACCCCACGUGGCAGCCGAGAUUGGGGAGCCCACGACGUGAGGCGCUGAGAAACAGGGGGCCUGUACUCCGCAGUCGUGUCCCUGAGCCCCGGCAGGGAGAGUGACGGGUGGGGGCUGUCCCUGGACAGUGGCGCCGGCAGGGACCUUCGGGUGGACAGUGACAGUGGCGCUCUACAGCUGGGGCGACCCAGGCUCAGGGAAAGGCCGUCCCUGGCGUCGGGUGGGACCGCCAGCGGCCCCUGCAGCCCCUACCGCGGGCGGCUCGAGCCCCCGGGCGCUGUCGGUCCUUUCCCAUCUGCGCGUGGUCAGACCAGCGACCCCCUCAUCCAGGGUUUCGUUCAAUCGGCAGCAGCACCCACUGAGCACCUGGUGUGUGCUCGCACCUACCACUGAGUCGGGUGCCAGAGACACAGCGAUAAACGGAACCUUCCUGGCUGACGCUCUAGGUCGUGGACCAGAAAAAAAUUAAACCGAUGUGAUCCAUGGCAUGAGGAUGAUGUAAAGUAAUAAAGGGGGUGGGUGCAGUCCUGUCCCACCCACACUGGCUUCCGGAGGCCAGGAAGCGGGACUCACCCCCAGGAGGCACUGUGGAGUUGUGGGGUCUCAGGCUCGGAGCAUCCGCGCUCACCAGCUGGGUACUCUGCACUGAACUCCUCCCCGAGCCCUGGGCGUCUUCCUGUGAGGAGGGGGAGGAGAGGUGGUGAAGGUGUAACGAAGUCCCACGAGGGAUUGUCAGCAGCAUCAUCACCUUCGGUGCCCCGUGGAGGUCAGAUCAGCGAUGGAGCCUGUGAGAGUUCUCUGUCGCUGCGUAACGAAGAGCCUACCAAAUGCAGCAGCUUUGCAGACAUUCAUUAUCAGUUUCUGUGGGUCAGGAAUUGGAACACAGCUGAGUCCCCUGAUCAGUGUCUCAUCUGAAGGCUUUACUGGAGGUUUCCAGGUCACACCUGUGGUUGCAGCAGGGGGCCACCCUCAGUCCUCUGCCACAGGGACACCUCUACAGGGCAGCUCACAAACUAGAAGCUGGCUCCCCGCAGAGAGCGUAAGAGCAAAUGAGCACGCCCUGACCUAGCCAGUCUCUAAAAGCCCAUCUCAGAAGUGACAUUCCCUCGCGGUCCAGUGGUUAGGACUCGGCGCCACCGGGGCCCGGGUUCAAUCCCUGGUCGGGUAACUAAGAUCCCGCAAGCCAUGUGGCGCGGCCAAAGAAAACCAAACCAAAACAAAAGAAGUGACAGCCCAUCAUCUCUCGUAUUUGAUUCAUCAGAGGCGAGUGACUGGAUCCUGCCGACCUCAAGCGGAGGGGCUGUACAGGGGUGUGAACACCAGGAGGUGGGACUGUUCGGGCCAUCCUGGACCCUGCCCAUCACUGGACGUAAAUGUGGAGUGUGGUGGUCUUGGAGUCCCUGCCUUGGCUGUGCACCCGGUGGGCUGUGUGUCUCGGGGGCAUGGUUUGCCCUCUCUGUGCCUUGGUCUCAUCUGUGAGACAGGGACCCUGAUAACUCACAUCUCCCUCAGUCCAUCGGCUGUCUCAGGGAUCGAGCUGCUGCAAAUCACCUUAACGUGCCGACCUGCAAAGUUUAGAUAUCCUUAUGCUUUACAAGCUUGGGCUUUUUCUCUUUUUAGUGGAAUUCCUCAAAUAAAACCUUAAGCAGGGA